AGAGGAGAGUUGGAAAUGGAUAUAGUGUGAAUCUUCUGAGAGUCUGUGGAGGAAGGAAGAGGGUGGGUGACGGAUAUCAUGAUGGGAGUGAAUACUGCAAUGCAGAGAAUAUUGCACAGUUAGGCCAGUUAAUUUGGUAAGGAUUAGAAACUACCAUCUUUGUAGAAGGUCCAUUUUCCUUCCAAUUUAAAAACCGGCAGCACGUGUCCAGGAGGAUCUCAGCAAAGCAAAAUAUAGAAAGAACACAGAUUUUCUAGCAGUUACGUUUUGUAGGUUAGAAUGAUUUUAAAUAAAAGGUGAAGAUUAUGCAUACACAUAAUGCUUGUAGAAACAUGGUGGACAAGAACACUGUCACUAACAAAAACUUGGGGUCAAAAAUGGAAACUUCAUAGAAUGAUUAGAGUAGCUAGAAAGUGAUCAUACUGUACAUUGUUUCAGUCUCCAACAAAAGAGAAAGCUGUGGUCACCAGAUUCAAGAUUUAAAAUUGGACAAAACUCAGGAGGUUGGCUGCUGAGGAAACCGUCUCUGAACCACUAGGAUGAGGGAUCAUCUGGGAAUAGUCAUGCUGUCUGACAGUGGACACUCAGCUGAAGCACCCACCCUGGAAGACCUGCCCUUCCAAACUCCUUAUAUGUACUCAGUGGAGGAUGCAGACUCGUCUAGUGAUCACUAGUGAUUUGCCUGAGGAUUGCCUGCCCUUCUCUACUUAAUGUGGAAAUAUCAGGGAGGAAGACAGGAUCCUAAGUCAGUAGGCUAAGCUUGGAAAGCACAGGCAUAUAUGGCAUUGCAAGUAUUUUGGAUGAGUCCUUCUAGUAUAAUACCUGUCUGAAAUUGAAGGAGUGGAUGACAUGAACCUAUACGUUACUCUGAGCCUGGAGGGUGUGCUCAGGGACUGCAGAAAGUGGAAAGAUGAUCUUGCAUGUACAGCAGCUCCAUGAUGCUCUGAUGAUCUGGGUUCUCUCUGUACCUCUGCUUCCUGCAGGUGGUGCCAGGUGACUCUAUUAAAACUGGCUUCUCAGAGGCAGUCAGAAAUUUUGCAUCAUUUGCUUUCUGUGUGUCUGGUGGCAGAGGACCAAGUUGCAGAACUACUCGACACCCAAAAUUGUACCUAAACGGAAUGGGGAACAGUCACUUUACAUGCAAUAGCGUAGUUGCUGUGAUAAAAUUAAAAAUAAUAAAAAAUUAUGCUGACAUGACUGAAAUUUGUCUGCCAGUUCUAGCUGAUGUUUACAAUUGUUACUUCUGAAUAGGAAUGUGGAUUAUGAUUUCCCCUUAACUUAUAGGGAUAUUAUUGUAAUUUGUGCCUGACUGAAAUAUUAACAAAUUACUGUUAUUAUGAAUUCUGAGAGAAUCAACAUAGAUUCCUUGUUCAGAAUAAACCUAAGUUGUGUUCCAAAAAUGUGACAUGAAGUCACACCAUGAAUUACAUAGAUAAAACCCUAAGAAAAUACAGCACGGGACCACCUAGUGAAAGAGAGUAUUUGUCAUGUAUAGAAUUAAGGGGACUGAAUUAAUAUUGCUCAGGCAGCAAUAUUAGAAGUAUGUAUUUUCAAUACUGUGAGACUUCAGUGUGUUUUAACUGUAAGGAUGUAUUCAAGUGCAUGAUUGCAUGUGUACAGUAUGUUGAAUAGGAUGUUUCAUUAAAAUAUUUUUGGUUCAUACAAUGCUUUAUUUAUAUCUCUUUGAAGCUGAAUGCAACUGGAAUAAACUUUGUGUCUUGUGCACAUUUU
Molecule: long non-coding RNA, 1731 nt
Organism: Cygnus olor (mute swan)
Lineage: Eukaryota; Metazoa; Chordata; Aves; Anseriformes; Anatidae
Exons: 5
Source: RefSeq, a predicted model, not a curated record